Molecule: unclassified non-coding RNA, 219 nt
Filed under: Hevea brasiliensis (rubber tree)
Lineage: Eukaryota; Viridiplantae; Streptophyta; Magnoliopsida; Malpighiales; Euphorbiaceae
Source: RNAcentral
GGCAGGCAAUGGAUUGGAAGACCAAAGCAGAGGAGGCCACAAGACCAGGUGGCUCUUCUCAGAGAAAUUUGGACCAACUGGUCAGAUUUCUUCAAAGAAAAUGAGUCGGAAUUCCUAAUGGCUGAGAAAGAAUUUUGUAUUGAAUAUUUGAUGCGUAUUUUUACUGCUAAAAACCUGUCAUUCAAAAUAAGCAAAGUAAGCCCUUAGAGAGCUUUUUUU